GGGUUGUCUAAACCCGGAGGCGAAAUGAAAGUGAGCCCGGUGCGGGCAGGCCGAUCCCCUGUUCGUGCGGCGGUGUCGGGCCGGCUGGGUUGAGAGAAUAUCCCUGGCCGGUUCCGGCGUCGUCCGUACGGGCGGCCCUCGGGACUCGUGCCCGGGGGAGAUGGGGCGCAGGCCGAGGACUUGGCGUUGUGCGGCCCGGGGGACGGGGAGCUUUCGGGCUCUCUCAACCCGGUGUCCGUGGCCAAGUACCUGGGAGCGCAGCCGUUGGGACCCGAAAGAUGGUGAACUAUGCCUGGCGAGGACGAAGCCAGAGGAAACUCUGGUGGAGGUCCGAAGCAGUUCUGACGUGCAAAUCGAUUGUCAGAGCUGGGUAUAGGG
Molecule: ribosomal RNA, 378 nt
Filed under: Palaemon vulgaris
Lineage: Eukaryota; Metazoa; Arthropoda; Malacostraca; Decapoda; Palaemonidae
Description: eukaryotic LSU rRNA
Rfam family: Eukaryotic large subunit ribosomal RNA (bases 269-378)
Source: RNAcentral